This is a long non-coding RNA of Vespula pensylvanica (western yellowjacket), 908 nucleotides long. RefSeq lists it as uncharacterized. The transcript is spliced from 2 exons. The record is from RefSeq and is a predicted model, not a curated record. NCBI's taxonomy places the organism in Eukaryota, Metazoa, Arthropoda, Insecta, Hymenoptera, Vespidae.
CCGCCAUCUUUGUUCUCGAAAUGGACCUCCACCGAUGCCGCAACAUCUGCAAUGAUAAAAGCCAUGUCCCCUAUAUUAAACAUUUCCAACGAUGUAACAUGAUUGAUGAUGAAAAAGCAUGAGUAGUAUCUACCGCAUCCUACGUUGGUAAGGUUCUACGAAUAAGGGUUAAAUUUGCAUUCCGAGAAGAACGAUGCUCAGGAUCAAGGGGUUAUACAUCGAGACGCUGUUCUUGUAAACCAAGCGCAUCAGCAAUUUCGUUCCGCUUCGGCAGACAUUUAGAAAUGCUUUUCCGCUUUCGUGAAUAUUGAUUCUCAGACACGGAGAUAUAGAUCAUCGAAAUAAACUAUUCUGAAUAAUGAUUUUCAUUGAAAUUUUAUGGAUCACGGUUAUAUCCAUUAUUCGUUUAUAUAUUAAUCGCGUGUUAACAAUUUUCUACCUUCUUCUUAUAUAAAUCAUUAUACGAUCUCAAAGGAAAUAUUUCUCUGUCAAGUUUUACGAUUUUAGUAGAACUGGAGUUCGGUCUCGUAAAAUUUUUCAUUUUCAGCAGCCGCAAUAAAGGUAUCACGUUGGUCUCGCUGUAAGCUUCCUCGCUCAACUGCAAAGGUAGCGAGAGAGAAAGAGAGAGAGAGAGAGAGAGAGAGAGAGAGAGAGAGAGAGAGAGAGAGAGAUAUUGAAUUCGAAACUUAAGCUUCAUCGUGCUCUAGCGACUCGAUUAAUCUUAAGACACGUGUGCCUGAAACGUAACUAUACCUAAGCUUUGAAAAGAAAUACGGGUCUAUUCAUAGUACGCUUAGUAGUGACCGGAACCUAGUUCCUGACUUAUAACUAACGAUCGAUCCGAGAAGAUUGCCUUGUUCGAUCGAUGCACAUCGAUCUAUACGAUAGCCAGAUACUUUAUUAUAGGG